This 253-nucleotide ribosomal RNA is filed under the name uncultured bacterium. RNAcentral describes it as "partial 16S ribosomal RNA". It matches the Rfam family "Bacterial small subunit ribosomal RNA", at positions 524 to 776 of the family's 1533-position model. The record is from RNAcentral.
UACGAAGGGGGCAAGCGUUGUUCGGAAUUACUGGGCGUAAAGCGCGCGUAGGCGGGUUGGUAAGUCGAUUGUGAAAGCCCUGGGCUCAACCUAGGAAUUGCAGUUGAAACUACCGAUCUUGAGUGCCUGAGAGGAUGGCGGAAUUGCCGGUGUAGUAGUGAAAUACGUAGAUAUCGGCAAGAACACCUGAGGCGAAGGCGGCUAUCUGGCGGUGCACUGACGCUAAGGCGCGAAAGCGUGGGGAGCAAACAGG